This 492-nucleotide ribosomal RNA is filed under the name uncultured bacterium. RNAcentral describes it as "partial 16S ribosomal RNA". It matches the Rfam family "Bacterial small subunit ribosomal RNA", at positions 29 to 507 of the family's 1533-position model. The record is from RNAcentral.
AGUGAACGCUGGCGGUAGGCCUAACACAUGCAAGUCGAACGGUAGCACAGUAAGAGCUUGCUCUUACGGGUGGCGAGUGGCGGACGGGUGAGGAAUACAUCGGAAUCUACUUUUUCGUGGGGGAUAACGUAGGGAAACUUACGCUAAUACCGCAUACGACCUACGGGUGAAAGCAGGGGAUCUUCGGACCUUGCGCGAUUGAAUGAGCCGAUGUCGGAUUAGCUAGUUGGCGGGGUAAAGGCCCACCAAGGCGACGAUCCGUAGCUGGUCUGAGAGGAUGAUCAGCCACACUGGAACUGAGACACGGUCCAGACUCCUACGGGAGGCAGCAGUGGGGAAUAUUGGACAAUGGGCGCAAGCCUGACCCAGCCAUACCGCGUGGGUGAAGAAGGCCUUCGGGUUGUAAAGCCCUUUUGUUGGGAAAGAAAAGCAGCAGGUUAAUACCCCGCUGUUCUGACGGUACCCAAAGAAUAAGCACCGGCUAACUUCGUG